CCUACGGGAGGCUGCAGUGGGGAAUAUUGGACAAUGGGGGGAACCCUGAUCCAGCCAUGCCGCGUGUGUGAAGAGGGCCCUCGGGUUGUAAAGCACUUUCAGUGAGGAAGAACGCCUGGUGGUUAAUACCCAUCAGGAAAGACAUCACUCACAGAAGAAGCACCGGCUAACUCCGUGCCAGCAGCCGCGGUAAUACGGAGGGUGCGAGCGUUAAUCGGAAUUACUGGGCGUAAAGCGCGCGUAGGUGGCUUGAUAAGCCGGUUGUGAAAGCCCCGGGCUCAACCUGGGAACGGCAUCCGGAACUGUCAAGCUAGAGUGCAGGAGAGGAAGGUAGAAUUCCCGGUGUAGCGGUGAAAUGCGUAGAGAUCGGGAGGAAUACCAGUGGCGAAGGCGGCCUUCUGGACUGACACUGACACUGAGGUGCGAAAGCGUGGGUAGCAAACAGGAUUAGAUACCCCAGUAGUC
RNAcentral lists this ribosomal RNA (465 nucleotides) under Vreelandella stevensii. RNAcentral's name for it is "partial 16S ribosomal RNA". It matches the Rfam family "Bacterial small subunit ribosomal RNA", at positions 338 to 795 of the family's 1533-position model. Lineage: Bacteria; Pseudomonadati; Pseudomonadota; Gammaproteobacteria; Oceanospirillales; Halomonadaceae. The record is from RNAcentral.